CGAUAACGAACGAGACCUCGGCCCUUAAAUAGCCCGGUCCGCAUUUGCGGGCCGCUGGCUUCUUAGGGGGACUAUCGGCUCAAGCCGAUGGAAGUGCGCGGCAAUAACAGGUCUGUGGUGCCCUUAGAUGUUCUGGGCCGCACGCGCGCUACACUGACAGGGCCAGCGAGUUUAUCACCUUGUCCGAAAGGACUGGGUAAUCUUGUGAAACCCUGUCGUGCUGGGGAUAGAGCAUUGCAAUUAUUGCUCUUCAACGAGGAAUGCCUAGUAGGCACGAGUCAUCAGCUCGUGCCGAUUACGUCCCUGCCCUUUGUACACACCGCCCGUCGCUACUACCGAUUGAAUGGGU
Molecule: ribosomal RNA, 349 nt
Filed under: uncultured Aspergillus
Lineage: Eukaryota; Fungi; Ascomycota; Eurotiomycetes; Eurotiales; Aspergillaceae
Description: SSU rRNA
Rfam family: Eukaryotic small subunit ribosomal RNA
Source: RNAcentral